This 305-nucleotide ribosomal RNA is filed under the name uncultured bacterium. Its description in RNAcentral is "bacterial SSU rRNA". It matches the Rfam family "Bacterial small subunit ribosomal RNA", at positions 333 to 654 of the family's 1533-position model. The record is from RNAcentral.
CCAUUCCUACGGGAGGCAGCAGAGGGGAAUAUUGCACAAUGGGGGAAACCCUGAUGCAGCGACGCCGCGUGAGUGAAGAAGUAUUUCGGUAUGUAAAGCUCUAUCAGCAGGAACGAGACAAGACGGUACCUGACUAAGAAGCCCCGGCUAAAUACGUGCCAGCAGCCGCGGUAAUACGUAUGGGGCAAGCGUUAUCCGGAUUUACUGGGUGUAAAGGGAGCGCAGGCGGCCUGCCAAGUCUGGUGUGAAAACCCGGGGCCCAACCCCGGGCCUGCAUUGGAAACUGGCGGGCUGGAGUGUCGGAG